AACGAGCGCUGGCGGCAGGCUUAACACAUGCAAGUCGAACGCCCCGCAAGGGGAGUGGCAGACGGGUGAGUAACGCGUGGGAAUCUACCCAUCUCUGCGGAAUAGCUCUGGGAAACUGGAAUUAAUACCGCAUACACCCUACGGGGGAAAGAUUUAUCGGGGAUGGAUGAGCCCGCGUUGGAUUAGCUAGUUGGUGGGGUAAAGGCCUACCAAGGCGACGAUCCAUAGCUGGUCUGAGAGGAUGAUCAGCCACAUUGGGACUGAGACACGGCCCAAACUCCUACGGGAGGCAGCAGUGGGGAAUAUUGGACAAUGGGCGCAAGCCUGAUCCAGCCAUGCCGCGUGAGUGAUGAAGGCCUUAGGGUUGUAAAGCUCUUUCACCGAUGAAGAUAAUGACGGUAGUCGGAGAAGAAGCCCCGGCUAACUUCGUGCCAGCCGCCGCAGUAA
This 447-nucleotide ribosomal RNA is filed under the name uncultured bacterium. RNAcentral's name for it is "partial 16S ribosomal RNA". It matches the Rfam family "Bacterial small subunit ribosomal RNA", at positions 29 to 523 of the family's 1533-position model. The record is from RNAcentral.